This 543-nucleotide ribosomal RNA is filed under the name Trigonopterus merubetirensis. RNAcentral describes it as "partial 16S ribosomal RNA". The record is from RNAcentral. Lineage: Eukaryota; Metazoa; Arthropoda; Insecta; Coleoptera; Curculionidae.
ACCUGGCUCACACCGGUUUAAACUCAGAUCAUGUAAAAUUUUAAAGGUCGAACAGACCUAACUUUAUCAGCUCCUACACCAACAAUUAAUUUUAAUCCAACAUCGAGGUCGCAAUCUUUCUCUUCGAUAAGAACUCUAGAAAAAAUUACGCUGUUAUCCCUAAGGUAAUUUAAUCUUACAAUCUAAAUUUCAGGAUCAUAAAUAUAUAAAUAAAUACUUCUAUAAAAAAAAAGUUAAUCUAAUUUUUCUAUCACCCCAACAAAAUACCUAUAAACAACCCCUAAACAAGCAAUCCUAAAAUUCAAGCAAUAAUAUAGAUAUAAAACUCUAUAGGGUCUUCUCGUCUUCUAUGAAAAUUUAAGCUUUCUCACUUAAAAAUAAAAUUCUAAUAAAUUCUUUAAAGACAGUAACUUUUUCAUCAAACCCUUCAUACAAGCUUUCAAUUAAAAAACUAGUGAUUAUGCUACCUUUGCACGGUCAAAAUACCGCGGCCAUUUAAACACUCAGUGGGCAGGCCUGACCUGAAAUUAUAAUCAACAAGCC